UGGGCAACCUGCCCCAGACACAGGGAUAACCCCGGGAAACCGGGGCUAAUACCGGAUACUCCGGUCGAACCGCAUGGCUCGAUCGGGAAAGCUCCGGCGGAGAAGGAUGAGCUCGCGGCCUAUCAGCUAGUUGGUGUGGGUAAUGGCCCACCAAGGCGACGACGGGUAGCCGGCCUGAGAGGGUGACCGGCCACACUGGGACUGAGACACGGCCCAGACUCCUACGGGAG
This 230-nucleotide ribosomal RNA is filed under the name uncultured bacterium. RNAcentral describes it as "partial 16S ribosomal RNA". It matches the Rfam family "Bacterial small subunit ribosomal RNA", at positions 118 to 347 of the family's 1533-position model. The record is from RNAcentral.